AAUGAUGCAAUGUUGAGGGGCAGCACACUCUUGUGCAGGCUCCCUUGUCCAACACCUCACAGGGAGUUGUCAUAUACCUGCGACUGAGACUUUUCUUUAAUCUAGUCUACAGGCUUCUGGGGACAUUGUCUGUUCAAGAGUAAAGCGAUUUGUUUAUGGAAGAAAAGAAAACGAGUCAGAUCUGUUCAUCAGAAAAGACAAAAAAGAAGAAUUAGCUUACCUGAUGGAGUAAGGGUGAUGAAUACAUCAGUCACUGAAAGGAGGUAGAGCGGCUGCCCUUUCUCUUGCUGCCUACUGUUUCUAACCCAUCCCCCCCUCCUGAAGCACAUUCUGAUCUCUCCUCCCUGCUUUUUCUAUACCUUCAGACUGAUGGUUGAAGGGAAAAGACAAAUGGAGUUUGUUCAACCAAUAACUUUAACUUUAUAUACAACUCAAACCCAUAGACGUUUGGAUGAGAUCUCUCAAGGAUUUCCCUGUAGAAUGAAGAGCACAAGUUAACCUUUAACAACCAUCAGAAACUCUUGGGAGAAGUUAACAACAAAAACAAAAAGUCCUCAUGCUUGUGUCCUGCUCCCCAUUCUGGAGACACCAUGCUGUGAGGAGCUCUCUGGAUAACUCUGCCCCCUGCCGGAAAGCACUCUAUUAUGUUGUGAUUUGGGGGGAGUUCUGGACAAAUGAACCUGUGUGACCCUGACCUAACUAAAAGAGAACAAAGAAAUAGACUGUACUGGAACCCUGGCUG
Molecule: long non-coding RNA, 742 nt
Filed under: Mus caroli (Ryukyu mouse)
Lineage: Eukaryota; Metazoa; Chordata; Mammalia; Rodentia; Muridae
Description: lncRNA (MGP_CAROLIEiJ_G0005804.1)
Source: RNAcentral